This 75-nucleotide transfer RNA is filed under the name Trichonephila inaurata madagascariensis. It matches the Rfam family "tRNA". From Rfam's summary of the family: Transfer RNA (tRNA) molecules are approximately 80 nucleotides in length. Their secondary structure includes four short double-helical elements and three loops (D, anti-codon, and T loops). Lineage: Eukaryota; Metazoa; Arthropoda; Arachnida; Araneae; Nephilidae. The record is from Rfam by way of RNAcentral.
GUCCCUGUAGCGCAAUGGAUAUAGCGCGUUAGACUUCUAAUCCAAAGGUCGUGGGUUCGAAUUCCACUUGGGAUG